CAGUAGCGUAUAUUAAAGUUGUUGCAGUUAAAAAGCUCGUAGUUGGAUUUCUGGCUUCGACGGAACUGACCCGCCGUGUUAUGCGUGUGAGUGUCGGGCUCUGUCGGCCAUCCUUCUGGAAAACGUUUCUACCCUUCACUGGGCCGGACUCGCGAUCCAGAACUUUUACUUUGAGGAAAUUAGAGUGUUCAAAGCAGGCUUGCGCUAUGAAUACAUUAGCAUGGAAUAAUGAUCUAGGACUUUGGUUCUAUUUUGUUGGUUUCUAGGACUGAAGUAAUGAUUGAUAGGGAUAGUUGGGGGUGGCUAGUAUUCAGCGGCCAGAGGUGAAAUUCUUGGAUUCGCUGAAGACUAACUUAUGCGAAAGCAUUCACCAAGGAUGUCUUCUUUAAUUCAAGAACGAAAGUU
This 405-nucleotide ribosomal RNA is filed under the name uncultured eukaryote. Its description in RNAcentral is "bacterial SSU rRNA". It matches the Rfam family "Eukaryotic small subunit ribosomal RNA", at positions 592 to 991 of the family's 1831-position model. The record is from RNAcentral.